GAACUUAAGCAUAUCAAUAAGCGGAGGAAAAGAAACCAACAGGGAUUGCCCCAGUAACGGCGAGUGAAGCGGCAACAGCUCAAAUUUGAAAUCUGGCCCCUCGGGGUCCGAGUUGUAAUUUGUAGAGGAUGCUUUUGGUGAGGUGCCGCCCGAGUUCCCUGGAACGGGACGCCACAGAGGGUGAGAGCCCCGUCUGGCUGGCCACCGAGCCUCUGUAAAGCUCCUUCGACGAGUCGAGUAGUUUGGGAAUGCUGCUCAAAAUGGGAGGUAUAUGUCUUCUAAAGCUAAAUAUUGGCCAGAGACCGAUAGCGCACAAGUAGAGUGAUCGAAAGAUGAAAAGCACCUUGAAAAGAGGGUUAAAUAGUACGUGAAAUUGUUGAAAGGGAAGCGCUUGUGACCAGACUUGGGCGCGGCGGAUCAUCCGGGGUUCUCUCCGGUGCACUUCGACGCGUCCAGGCCAGCAUCAGUUCGUCGCGGGGGAAAAAGGCUUCGGGAACGUGGCUCCUCCGGGAGUGUUAUAGCCCGUUGCAUAAUACCCUGCGGUGGACUGAGGACCGCGCAUCUGCAAGGAUGCUGGCGUAAUGGUCACCAGCGACCCGUCUUGAAACACGGACCAAGGAGUCGUCUUCGUAUGCGAGUGUUCGGGUGUCAAACCCCUACGCGUAAUGAAAGUGAACGCAGGUGAGAGCUUCGGCGCAUCAUCGACCGAUCCUGAUGUUCUCGGAUGGAUUUGAGUAAGAGCAUACGGGGCCGGACCCGAAA
Molecule: ribosomal RNA, 762 nt
Filed under: uncultured fungus
Lineage: Eukaryota; Fungi
Description: eukaryotic LSU rRNA
Rfam family: Eukaryotic large subunit ribosomal RNA
Source: RNAcentral